AAAAUCUUAAAAUAGGUUUUUGACCAAAAGAACACAAAAAAAAAAAAGGGAAUUUGCAUUAGAUAACAAAAAUAAGAAGUAUAAUUAGCUAAAUGGCUAUGCGACUGUACAUUUUCCAUAAUCCCAACAAUAACCCUAUUGAAGCUCUCGGACAUAGGUCUGACAAAACUCCUACCUUUAUCCUCCAAGCAGCUUUUGAAAUAAUUAAACAGAAAUUGAAACAAACAUUAUUAUCACUCAAGUGCAAAAAACAGAGAAAAUAAAAACCUCAUCUCAUUUUUCUAUUUUUUAAAAACUUUUAUUCUCCCCUAAAGAUAGUUAUCUCUUGGAUCUCGAGAUGGUGUCUUCCUCACAUCGUGAAGAGAUAUUCAAAUAGCAACAAUCCCAACAAAAAAAAAUUGAGUCUUUCUAGUGAAGAAAAAGAAAAAAAAAGUCAGACCCUUUACAUAUGGGUUCGUUGAUUAGAUCUUCAGUUCUUUUUCUGCAAUGGGUAUUGCAGCAGCGGAUUGGAAGUUUCAUGUUUUAGUUGUUGAUGACAGUUUAUUUGAUUGGAAACUCAUAGAGAGAUUGGUUCGGGUUUCUGGCUAUAAGGCUUUAGAGUUUCUGGGUUUAAGACAAGGUAUUGAGAGUAACGACCCAAUCAGCUAUUUCUUCAUCUCCUCAGGAAGUAGAAGUGAAUUUUACCAUUAUAUGAUUGGUUGUGAUUUGCUCAAGAAAGUUAAGGUAUUUGUUAUGAUCCACCUAGGCUUAUAGGUUCAAUGUUAGGACACCCAAUGUCAAAUUAAGAGAUUGAGUAGAGUUUCCCAACCCCACAAAAGUGUCUUCAGCUCUCCUCUGGCCAUCCAAGACUGCUUGUGAUCCAACUAAACCCAUCCACGAUGAUUCAUUUAUGAAUUCAAAUUGACAACAAUGGCUUAACAUUGGAGAAUAUGACCGACGGUGACAACAAUGAAGAUAGCAAGAACGGCGGAGGAUGUUGAGUUUUGAUGGUGGUUGUGAUUAAGGUUUCUUGCUGAUUGUUCUUGCCUUAAACGAAAAAUAUAGCAGUUGCGAUCACCAUCUCCCCCUUCACUAUUCUCUUCCAAGCACGCGCGUGUACUCACGCUGCCAAUGAGUACCUUUCCAGUAAAACAUAUCUGGCUACAAUUUAAGUAUAUCUUGAUAUAGACCCGGUUUUAAAGCAAAAUAACCGGUUACACACAUAUCUUAAUGCAUAAUAUUACAUGUUGUAUCCAUGAUUAACUUUGUAAUACACGGUUAUACUCACAUAUACAAUUAUUCUAUCUCUUUUAUUA
Molecule: RNA transcript, 1295 nt
Organism: Brassica napus (rape)
Lineage: Eukaryota; Viridiplantae; Streptophyta; Magnoliopsida; Brassicales; Brassicaceae
Gene name: two-component response regulator ARR9-like
Exons: 3
Source: RefSeq, a predicted model, not a curated record